Stegodyphus mimosarum is the source of this 73-nucleotide non-coding RNA. NCBI's taxonomy places the organism in Eukaryota, Metazoa, Arthropoda, Arachnida, Araneae, Eresidae. The record is from Rfam.
GCCUUCGUGGUGUAAUGGUUAACACUCUGAGCCGGUAUUUCAGAGGUCCGUGGUUCGAUCCCCGGCGAAGGCG